UGAGGAAUAUUGGUCAAUGGACGGAAGUCUGAACCAGCCAAGUAGCGUGCAGGAUGACGGCCCUAUGGGUUGUAAACUGCUUUUAUACGGGGAUAAAGUUAGGGACGUGUCCCUAUUUGCAGGUACCGUAUGAAUAAGGACCGGCUAAUUCCGUUCCAGCAGCCGCGGUAAUACGGAAGGUCCGGGCGUUAUCCGGAUUUAUUGGGUUUAAAGGGAGCGUAGGCCGUAGAUUAAGUGUGUUGUGAAAUGUAGACGCUCAACGUCUGACUUGCAGCGCAUACUGGUUUACUUGAGUUUGCACAACGUUGGCGGAAUUCGUCGUGUAGCGGUGAAAUGCUUAGAUCUGCCGAAGAACUCCGCUUGCGAAGUCAGCUUGCGGGAGCAAAACUGACGCUGAAGCUCGAAAGUGCGGGUAUCGAACAGG
This 424-nucleotide ribosomal RNA is filed under the name Verrucomicrobiota bacterium. RNAcentral's name for it is "Verrucomicrobia bacterium partial 16S ribosomal RNA". It matches the Rfam family "Bacterial small subunit ribosomal RNA", at positions 355 to 776 of the family's 1533-position model. Lineage: Bacteria; Pseudomonadati; Verrucomicrobiota. The record is from RNAcentral.